This 468-nucleotide ribosomal RNA is filed under the name uncultured bacterium. Its description in RNAcentral is "partial 16S ribosomal RNA". It matches the Rfam family "Bacterial small subunit ribosomal RNA", at positions 28 to 507 of the family's 1533-position model. The record is from RNAcentral.
GACGAACGCUGGCGGCGUGCUUAACACAUGCAAGUCGAACGGAAAGGCCCUGCUUUUGUGGGGUGCUCGAGUGGCGAACGGGUGAGUAACACGUGAGUAACCUGCCCUUGACUUUGGGAUAACUUCAGGAAACUGGGGCUAAUACCGGAUAGGAGCUCCUGCUGCAUGGUGGGGGUUGGAAAGUUUCGGCGGUUGGGGAUGGACUCGCGGCUUAUCAGCUUGUUGGUGGGGUAGUGGCUUACCAAGGCUUUGACGGGUAGCCGGCCUGAGAGGGUGACCGGCCCCCUUGGGACUGAGAUACCGCCCCGACUCCUACGGGGGGCAGCAGUGGGGAAUAUUGCACAAUGGGCGGAAGCCUGAUGCAGCAACGCCGCGUGCGGGAUGACGGCCUUCGGGUUGUAAACCGCUUUCGCCUGUGACGAAGCGUGAGUGACGGUAAUGGGUAAAGAAGCACCGGCUAACUACGUG